UUAAAUUGAGAGUUUGAUCCUGGCUCAGGAUGAACGCUGGUGGCGUGCCUAAUACAUGCAAGUCGUACGCUAGCCGCUGAAUUGAUCCUUCGGGUGAAGUGAGGCAAUGACUAGAGUGGCGAACUGGUGAGUAACACGUAAGAAACCUGCCCUUUAGUGGGGGAUAACAUUUGGAAACAGAUGCUAAUACCGCGUAACAACAAAUCACACAUGUGAUCUGUUUGAAAGGUCCUUUUGGAUCGCUAGAGGAUGGUCUUGCGGCGUAUUAGCUUGUUGGUAGGGUAG
This 285-nucleotide ribosomal RNA is filed under the name Oenococcus oeni. RNAcentral's name for it is "partial 16S ribosomal RNA". It matches the Rfam family "Bacterial small subunit ribosomal RNA", at positions 1 to 260 of the family's 1533-position model. Lineage: Bacteria; Bacillati; Bacillota; Bacilli; Lactobacillales; Lactobacillaceae. The record is from RNAcentral.